AGGUGAACCUGCGGAGGGAUCAUUAAAGAGUUAAAACAACUCCUAAACCCAUGUGAACCUACCUUUGUUGCCUCGGCAGGUCUGCAACUUACCCUGAGGGGACCUACCCUGUAGGUACCUUACCCGGUAGUUGCGGGCAUAACCUGCCGGUGGUCUACUAAACUCUGUUUACUAUGUUAUUCUGAAUAAUAUAACUAAAUAAGUUAAAACUUUCAACAACGGAUCUCUUGGUUCUGGCAUCGAUGAAGAACGCAGCGAAAUGCGAUAAGUAAUGUGAAUUGCAGAAUUCAGUGAAUCAUCGAAUCUUUGAACGCACAUUGCGCCCAUUAGUAUUCUAGUGGGCAUGCCUGUUCGAGCGUCAUUUCAACCCUUAAGCCCUGUUGCUUAGCGUUGGGAGCCUACAGAUACCCUCUGUAGUUCCUUAAAGUUAGUGGCGGAGUCGGUUUCACACUCUAGACGUAGUAAAUUUUAUCUCGCCUAUAGAUGAGCCGGUCCCUUGCCGUAAAACCCCCUAAUUUCUAAAGGUUGACCUCGGAUCAGGUAGGAAUACCCGCUGAACUUAAGCAUAUCAAA
This 573-nucleotide ribosomal RNA is filed under the name Xylaria arbuscula. RNAcentral's name for it is "eukaryotic LSU rRNA". The stretch from base 208 to 361 matches the Rfam family "5.8S ribosomal RNA". The record is from RNAcentral. Lineage: Eukaryota; Fungi; Ascomycota; Sordariomycetes; Xylariales; Xylariaceae.